This 1294-nucleotide long non-coding RNA is filed under the name Apteryx rowi (Okarito brown kiwi). Its description in RNAcentral is "lncRNA (ENSARWG00000001367.1)". The record is from RNAcentral. Lineage: Eukaryota; Metazoa; Chordata; Aves; Apterygiformes; Apterygidae.
UAAGUUAGGCCUCYGAAUCAAGAGAAAUCUAAGGAAGCUGUCCUAGGUAAAUGAGGCUUGCACUGAACUAAAGAAAUUUUUUUUAUCUUAAAUGCCAGUACAAUAUGAAUAAAACAGUGCAAACAGGAGGAAAUUGACAGCAAUAUGAAGCCAAUAAUUUUAUGAAUAAGGAAAAAAAUACUCAAUUUUAAAUUCUCACAGGUAACUCUUGCCCAGCCUGUUAAGUUUCUGAACUUUUGUGUUUCUCCUUAAAUUCKCAAGAAGGUCUUGGGAUAUCUGCAGCUGAAAAGCCUUGCAUGUACACAAGAGUAAAUCUGAAGGAACACCAAGCAGAGCCCUCAACUAUCUGAUCGUGCAUUUCUGCAAUUUUAUAUUAGUAGAUAAGGCACGUUGAAGUUAAUACCAAGUUUCCUCUGCAGUAAACAAACAUAUCAGUUACAACUACAAAGUUAUCUCACUGUUUAAGAUAAAUGACACUUCAAUUGAAUGCAGUAAUGGGUGUCAGUCUUCUGUCAGUAAUGACCUGGAAGUUUGCUAGACUUGGGCACAUGAACAGAACACUGCAUGAGAACAGUGGCACCGAUUCAAGGAAAAUUUUUCCUUCCAUCUCUUGUGGGAUUUCUGUUGUUUUGAAUCUGAUCACAGGAGAAGAGUUCCAAGUCAGCAAGAAGCAGGGGAAAGUGAGAAAUGCUUGGGAAAAUGGAAAUGCUACUGAGGUUUUAGGCAAARGAUACCAUCUAGGACAGCGGAAUGAAAGCAUGUAUAACUAGCAAUUUGUACAAUUAUGAUUUUAUUAAAACUGUUUUUGUUACUCUUUAUAAACUGAUCUGUAUCCUUAAUUACAAUAUAGUCAAUAGCUACUUAAAAAAUUAAAAUAUUUUUAGUAGUAUUUUGUUAAAACUUCUUGUAUAGGAUUUUCUAGCAAUUUGCAAAGUUAAUGCUUUUUGGAUGGGAAGGUUGAAUUCCAUAAGCAUUUAAUCAGAAACUACGAGUCUUCUGUGUUUCUUGGCUACCUUUCUUUUCCAAAUGCAUUAUAACCGUGAUAUAUGAGGAGAAAACAAUGAUGGAUUGGUAGGCUAGUAGGAGAUGCAUGGUAGUUCCUCUCCCUCUGUAGGAGGAGAGAAGUAAAUGAAAUAUAUUUGAGCAAACUGUGCAUUAAAUGGUAACUUGUGGUGAUCACAUGCAUGUUUGCAGAGAACUAGGAGGCUACCAAAAAUAGAGACUUAAAGUCACGCUUCGUUAUUUUUUUUUAGUCACAACGUGGCGGGCUGGAGCAUCCCACGGUAUCCGUUCU